Molecule: ribosomal RNA, 449 nt
Filed under: uncultured bacterium
Lineage: Bacteria
Description: bacterial SSU rRNA
Rfam family: Bacterial small subunit ribosomal RNA
Source: RNAcentral
UCGAGGAUCUUUCACAAUGGGCGAAAGCCUGAUGGAGCGACACUGUGUGAACGAUGAAGGCCUUCGGGUUGUAAAGUUCUUUCGCUUAGGAACAAGAGAUCGUAGUGAAUAACUGUGUGAUUUGAGUGUACUAGGUAAAGAAGCACCGGCUAACUCCGUGCCAGCAGCUGCGGUAAUACGGAGGGUGCAAGCAUUAAUCGGAAUUAUUGGGCGUAAAGGGCGCGUAGGCGGUUAAGUAAGUCAGAUGUGAAAUUCCGAAGCUCAACUUCGGAGCUGCAUUUGAAACUACUAAACUGGAGGAUUGGCGGAGAAAACGGAAUUCCACGUGUAGCGGUGAAAUGCGUAGAUAUGUGGAAGAACACCGGUGGCGAAAGCGGUUUUCUAGCUUAUUCCUGACGCUGAGGCGCGAGAGCAAGGGGAGCAAACAGGAUUAGAUACCCGUGUAGUCC